UCGGUUUGACUUCUGAGUGUGCCUGGACUUUCUCUACCCGGCUAAACUGACCAGCCAUAUCCCCCACCUGCCCCCCGAUUUAUGUGGACAGAUAAUUACCAUAUAUAACUACAUGCAGUCAAGCGAGCAAGCUCGAUUUCAAAUUAUAUCCACCGGCCGCCGGUGUGAUGUUUCAUGGGAGGUGCCAUUCCAAAGAUUUAGCGUAUGUACAUGCAUACUAGAAUUGACGCCAAUUCAAAAGAGAUGCGUCCAUUGACCGGCGGCCAUGCACCACGCGCGCGCACGCCCGCCAUUGCUGUCGGAGUGCCAGCGUGCUAAUUAUUCGUUGUUAUUGUUGGAAUUUUUCAGCAGGUCAAACUAUGCCGCCAUCCGAUCUGUCGUUGUCGCCGUUGCCGACGACGUCCAUCGACUCUGUUGGCUUUGCACUUCACCACGUAUUGGUCAGUACUGCUCCGACACCUCGAUGCAUCAAUCACGAUGGCAACAACUAUGGUGGCACAUGUUAGAGGGAUGUGACUGUUCCAGCACCGCGGCGGCGGCUGCGCCGACGUACGACCAGCCAAAUUUAUAGUUGCUAAACAAACUCUAGAGAUGAGAAGAUGGGCGUAUGACCUGAUGGAAACAAGAGAAUAUACUGUAUAUGAUCGGUCGAUCUCAUGUAGAAGUCCAUAAAAUCAUGGAUGAACUAUUUGCGCUUUUGUGUAGUACAUCACUCUUAUAUCAAGGGAUAAUACUACAUACUACAUACUACCUACUACA
This is a long non-coding RNA of Triticum aestivum (bread wheat), 759 nucleotides long. RefSeq lists it as uncharacterized. The record is from RefSeq and is a predicted model, not a curated record. The transcript is spliced from 2 exons. Lineage: Eukaryota; Viridiplantae; Streptophyta; Magnoliopsida; Poales; Poaceae.